AGUGAACGCUGGCGGUAGGCCUAACACAUGCAAGUCGAACGGCAGCACAGUAAGAGCUUGCUCUUACGGGUGGCGAGUGGCGGACGGGCGAGGAAUACAUCGGAAUCUACUUUUUCGUGGGGGAUAACGUAGGGAAACUUACGCUAAUAUCGCAUACGACCUACGGGUGAAAGCAGGGGAUCUUCGGACCUUGCGCGAUUGAAUGAGCCGAUGUCGGAUUAGCUAGUUGGCGGGGUAAAGGCCCACCAAGGCGACGAUCCGUAGCUGGUCUGAGAGGAUGAUCCGCCACACUUGAACUGAGACACGGUCCCGACUCCUACGGGAGGCAGCAGUGGGGAAUAUUGGACAAUGGGCGCAAGCCUGAUCCAGCCAUACCGCGUGGGUGAAGAAGGCCUUCGGGUUGUAAAGCCCUUUUGUUGGGAAAGAAAAGCAGCAGGUUAAUACCCCGCUGUUCUGACGGUACCCAAAGAAUAAGCACCGGCUAACUUCGUG
RNAcentral lists this ribosomal RNA (492 nucleotides) under uncultured bacterium. Its description in RNAcentral is "partial 16S ribosomal RNA". It matches the Rfam family "Bacterial small subunit ribosomal RNA", at positions 29 to 507 of the family's 1533-position model. The record is from RNAcentral.